RNAcentral lists this ribosomal RNA (496 nucleotides) under uncultured bacterium. Its description in RNAcentral is "bacterial SSU rRNA". It matches the Rfam family "Bacterial small subunit ribosomal RNA", at positions 9 to 507 of the family's 1533-position model. The record is from RNAcentral.
GAGUUUGAUCCUGGCUCAGGAUGAACGCUAGCGGAGGCCUAACACAUGCAAGCCGAGCGGUAUUGUUUCUUCGGAAAUGAGAGAGCGGCGUACGGGUGCGGAACACGUGUGCAACCUGCCUUUAUCUGGGGGAUAGCCUUUCGAAAGGAAGAUUAAUACUCCAUAAUAUAUUGAACGGCAUCGUUUAAUAUUGAAAGCUCCGGCGGAUAGAGAUGGGCACGCGCAAGAUUAGCUAGUUGGUGAGGUAACGGCUCACCAAGGCAAUGAUCUUUAGGGGCCUGAGAGGGUGAUCCCCCACACUGGUACUGAGACACGGACCAGACUCCUACGGGAGGCAGCAGUGAGGAAUAUUGGUCAAUGGGUGCAAGCCUGAACCAGCCAUCCCGCGUGAAGGACGACUGCCCUAUGGGUUGUAAACUUCUUUUGUAUAGGGAUAAACCUACUCUCGUGAGGGUAGCUGAAGGUACUAUACGAAUAAGCACCGGCUAACUCCGUG